CUUAUCUUGGGUCUUUCAACCGACCCCUUCAAAUGUCAUAAUCUAACCCUUGAUACUACAGUCCUCUAACAUCAUUAUCUAGAGCGGUUAUCAAAUCGUUAUUCCAACAUUUGGUCACUUUAAAUCCAAACUGAAACUAUUUCCACUGCCUAUCUGGCUAAUGUGUGCUUGUUCCGCAUCAUUCAUCUGAUAGGUGUUCACACAUGAUGGUAAUCGCCACGGCAAUGAAAUGCCGGGCCUCUUUCGAUUGGGCGCCAUAUUGUUACGGAUGCCUCCUAUGCGACAGGAGAAUAACUAUCGGCUAGCACGGUAUAUCCCAGGAGUGGUCCCAUCCCGUCAUCUCCGUCCGAGGUUGGAGACCAGAUGGAUUGUCCCAGUCGCCCUCCCUUCCAUGGCCAACCAGUUCCCGGAUCAUCGAUUUCGGUGGCCCCAUAAACCCGCCUACAUCACAACAUCCAUCCCGCACUUACCUGCCCCGAGGGGAUCCUUUUAGCACAUCAUUACACUCAUCGCCUUCAAAUUCAAACAUUAAUCAUAUUUAUUAUAAUUUUACUAAUACUAACACCUACAACAU
Molecule: long non-coding RNA, 574 nt
Organism: Stomoxys calcitrans (stable fly)
Lineage: Eukaryota; Metazoa; Arthropoda; Insecta; Diptera; Muscidae
Exons: 3
Source: RefSeq, a predicted model, not a curated record